AGUGCUCCUCCGGUAGCAGGGAGGCGACAGAAGGAGUAUGGAUGUGUCCAACAGCCAAAAACUCAAGAAAGUAAAUUGAAAAUUGGUGGUGUGUCUUCAGUUAAUGAGAGACCUAUUGCCCAGCAGUUGAACCCAGGCUUUCAGCUUUCUUUUGCAUCAUCUGGCCCAAGUGUGUUGCUUCCUUCAGUUCCAGCUGUUGCUAUUAAGGUUUUUUGUUCUGGUUGUAAAAAAAUGCUUUAUAAGGGCCAAACUGCAUAUCAUAAGACAGGAUCUACUCAGCUCUUCUGCUCCACACGAUGCAUCACCAGACAUUCUUCACCUGCCUGCCUGCCACCUCCUCCCAAGAAAACCUGCACAAACUGCUCGAAGUAUAAAAUUCUUAACAUCCCUUUUUACUUUACCUUUUUUUUAGUGUGUAUAUUGUUUAGUUCAAACAUACUGUUGAUACUUUAAAUCUCUUCAGCAUGUAUCUGUAGAAAUAACUUUUUAGUUAAUGGAAGAAUUCACCAAUUUUAAAGUUUUGCAACAUUAAAUAAGUGACUUGGUGUUAGAAUAUUGCCUAAACCAGUUUUCUAUCACUUUAAAUUUUACUAUGGAAAGAAAUAACAAAUGACAUGUGGGAAUUGCAGGACUAUCCUGUAAUUGUAGACACCCACCAUUUAAAUUUAUUUAACAGUUAUCUUGAAAGCUAUUGGGUAUAGCAUAAAAUAAUAUCACUCUUUUAAUAGUAUACAAAAGCUAUUUAAUUCUUUAAAAAGUAAAAACUCUACAUGGUCGCAAAAAUGUGUUUAUUUCUAAUGUCCUUGUGGGGUCAUUGUUGCUUUACAAUAAUGCUUAGAUGCAGAGAGAGGAAAAAACAGCAACAAAGUCACAUAAAUCUUUCCCUGACUUAGUACAUUUGAAGGAUUUGGCAUAUUUUGCCUAUUUCUGUGGUAGUGUAAUUUGAGGAAUACAGUGUGUUGUUAAUAGUCACUACAGGCAAAAAACAGUAAGAGCUUGCUUUUAAAUUGUGGCUCUGUCAUUUAUCUCUGUGACUUCGGGCUAGAUGUUUAACUUUCUAAGCCUCCAUUUCUCAUCAGUAAAUAAUAGUUGCUUCCUAGGACUUUAAUGAGACAGUGUUAGCAAAUGGCCUAGCACAUAGCAAGUACUUAAAAAAUGGAAUCCUGUUAUUAUUAAUAAUAAAAAUUAUAUCGUGCGAUUAUUUAUAAUUAACAUAAAUAAAUAUAAUAAAUAUAUGUGUAUAUAAUACAUAUUACUAUGUAUACUUAACAUAUCACUUGUAGGCCCCUAUUUUGUCUUUGGCUGUGUUUAUCUGCUUUGUGUCUUGACUUAAACUAUUUAAAAGUAGAUCCUGCUAUAUGGAAAUUUCCAAGUAAAGAGGAGAGAGGAUUUUUUUUUUUCUUUGUUGCCCAUGGUAGAGUGAUCACAGCUCACUGCAGCCUUGAACUCCCCGGGCUCAGAUGAUCCUCCCACCUCAGCCUUUCAAAUAGCUGGGACCACAGGCGCAUACCACCAUGCCCGACUAAUUUUUGUAUUUUUUUGUAGAGAUGGUUUUGCUAUGUUGCCCAGGCUGGUCUCAAACUCCUGGGCUCAAGCAAUUAGCCUGCCUCAGCCUCCUAAAGUGCUGGGACUAUUGGUGUGAGCCAUCACAUGUGGCCAGGAGAGAGGAAUUUUAAAAUAUUUAUAUACUCUAAAUUAGUUUGUUGCAAAAUACCAUUCUAAUUAAUGCUUUUAUGUCAUUCUCAUGAAACUAAUCUGAAAGAGUAAACUUAGUUUUCUAUUUUUAGAUAUUGUUUCAACAUACCAAAUACCAAAAUAAAAUUAAAUAAUUUUAAAGAACAUAACACAACUUAUACAUCCAAAUGCCUAUUGUUUUCUUAAAAGUAGUCACCCCCGUCAGUGACUUUUUAGCAUAAGGUUAGGAGACAGAUUCUUAUCUUUUCAGCAUGCAUUUGAUUUUUACAAAUUUUCAAAGGCUGCUUGAUACCUUAAUCAGGCCAAUAUAUUAGCUAAUUAAAUUAAGUCAUACUGUUAAAACAUGAUAUUUAUAAAAUUAAAAGUUAAAAAAUAGUCUAAGGGUUUAUCUUAAGUUUUAUCUUAAAAAAAUUAGAAAAAUGUUUUGAGCUAUGUUAUUGUUGGAAGGUGUGGUUUUUCUACGGUAAAUGUUACGAUAUAACACUCAUUUGCAUGUGUAAGGUUCAGAGUACACUUAUAAUUUAUGUGCACAGAUUUUCAUUAUAAAGUCAUUCUCUUUGAUUUACAUAUUUUUACUUGCUAUUUUUGUACUUAUUAUGCCACUGGCAGAUUCACCUUAUUAAGUGAAACUCUUUAUUGCUCUGUUUUCAGUAGAAAAAUCACUUUUCAAAAUUAAUACUUCAUCUGUGUAUAAGCAUAUUCUUUUGGUUUCUAAGAUUUGCUGUCAUAUUUUUAAAGUUGAGUUUUAAAGAAUUAAAAUAAUUUUUGUUGUUGUU
Molecule: long non-coding RNA, 2471 nt
Filed under: Homo sapiens (human)
Lineage: Eukaryota; Metazoa; Chordata; Mammalia; Primates; Hominidae
Description: non-protein coding lnc-TMEM35B-5:2
Source: RNAcentral